AAAAGUACUUUGAAAAGAGAGUGCAAGAGAACGUGAAACCGGUAUAAUGGAAGCAUAUGGAGUUGACGUAUCUGAGUGUUUGUUCAGUUUGUUGUUGGUUGUGUUGGGUUGGAUAAGGUUUGAGAAAUCUGCCUGUCUGAUUCAUUCAUGAUUUUCAAUGAAUGCAUUCAAGCAUGGAGUGUGCCGAAUAGUGUGAUGAUGUCUGUGGAAAUGAAUAAAGUAACGCAAGUUUUUGUUCAAGGAAGCAGGUUGUUGUUACAUUGAAAGUAUGUUGUUUGUGAUUCAGUUCAGCGCUUGUGGUUAUUUGGUUCGUUCACAUGUGAAUUGAUCUUACGAUUGCGAGUGUUUUGCUGGAUUUCCCAAAUACUGAUUCGGUAUCAUAGUCAAUGACCCAUUUGACCCGUCUUGAAACACGGACCAAGGAGUGUAACGUUAGCGCGAGUUAUUGAAUCUAAGAAAUUCAAAAGCGUAAUGAAAGUGAGACCCGUAGAUCGGUCAUGGUGUGAUGUUGUUCGUAUUCGUAUGAAGAAUAGCAACACGGGCUCACGUCGAGGACUUGUCCCUGAUGUGACGCUUGAGCGUUAGCGUUGCGACCCGAAAGAUGGUGAACUGUGAUUGAACAGGAUGAAGCCAGAGGAAACUCUGGUGGAAGUCCCAAGCGGUUCUGACCUGCAAAUCCAUCCUCUGAUUUGAUUACAGGGGCCAAAGACUAAUCCAACCAUC
This 723-nucleotide ribosomal RNA is filed under the name Ruehmaphelenchus formosanus. Its description in RNAcentral is "eukaryotic LSU rRNA". It matches the Rfam family "Eukaryotic large subunit ribosomal RNA", at positions 367 to 944 of the family's 3401-position model. Lineage: Eukaryota; Metazoa; Nematoda; Chromadorea; Rhabditida; Aphelenchoididae. The record is from RNAcentral.